AGCGAACGCUGGCGGCAGGCUUAACACAUGCAAGUCGAACGGGCGUAGCAAUACGUCAGUGGCAGACGGGUGAGUAACAACGUGGGAACGUACCCUUUGGUUCGGAACAACACAGGGAAACUUGUGCUAAUACCGGAUAAGCCCUUACGGGGAAAGAUUUAUCGCCGAAGGAUCGGCCCGCGUCUGAUUAGCUUGUUGGUGAGGUAAUGGCUCACCAAGGCGACGAUCAGUAGCUGGUCUGAGAGGAUGAUCAGCCACACUGGGACUGAGACACGGCCCAGACUCCUACGGGAGGCAGCAGUGGGGAAUAUUGGACAAUGGGCGCAAGCCUGAUCCAGCCAUGCCGCGUGAGUGAUGAAGGCCCUAGGUUGUAAAGCUCUUUGGCGGGGAAGAUAAUGACGGUACCCG
RNAcentral lists this ribosomal RNA (408 nucleotides) under uncultured bacterium. RNAcentral's name for it is "bacterial SSU rRNA". It matches the Rfam family "Bacterial small subunit ribosomal RNA", at positions 29 to 481 of the family's 1533-position model. The record is from RNAcentral.